GCCGCGGUAUUUUGACCGUGCAAAGGUAGCGUAAUCAUUUGUCUUUUAAAUGAAGACCUGUAUGAAUGGCUAGACGAGGGCUUAACUGUCUCCUUUUUCAAGUCAAUGAAAUUGAUCUCCCCGUGCAAAAGCGGGGAUAUGCCCAUAAGACGAGAAGACCCUAUGGAGCUUUAGAUGCCACAGCAAGCAUAGCUGCUACAUCCAAAUAAAGGAUGUAUCCACUAGCUUCUGCCUCAACAUCUUCGGUUGGGGUGACCAUGGGGAACGAAAAACCCCCACGUCUCUGUACUGGAGUCUCUAUUAAACCUAACAAACUCUUUCAAACAAGAGCCGCCGCUCUACUUAACAGAAUUUCUGACCAUUGAUCCGGCAAUGCCGAUUAACGAAUCCAGUUACCCUAGGGAUAACAGCGCAAUCCCCUUCUAGAGUCCAUAUCGAUAAGGGGGCUUACGACCUCGAUGUUGG
Molecule: ribosomal RNA, 465 nt
Filed under: Centropomus mexicanus
Lineage: Eukaryota; Metazoa; Chordata; Actinopteri; Centropomidae
Description: partial large subunit ribosomal RNA
Rfam family: Bacterial large subunit ribosomal RNA
Source: RNAcentral